UAAGGUAUAGCAUAAUUUUAAUGCACUUCGCUUACACUGAAACUAUACUAACCACUAGUUACCUUAA
This 67-nucleotide transfer RNA is filed under the name Scaliola sp. RNAcentral's name for it is "tRNA-Val". It matches the Rfam family "tRNA". From Rfam's summary of the family: Transfer RNA (tRNA) molecules are approximately 80 nucleotides in length. Their secondary structure includes four short double-helical elements and three loops (D, anti-codon, and T loops). The record is from RNAcentral. Lineage: Eukaryota; Metazoa; Mollusca; Gastropoda; Scaliolidae.